ACUUUUUUAAAGAACGUGGAGCGAACAUCACCGCAUUGGAAACGAUUAAAAAAAUAUAUAUAAAAAUGUGAAUCUGUGAUUACUAGGCGCUGCGUUAAAGCGCUGGCAUUUGUGAAUUGAAACAAAAUGGCCUCUUAUGCUCAACACGUGUUUUCUGGCAGAGUUGGAGAGAGACAGACGAUCGGUCUUUCGAUUUGGAUUCGGAAUAUAAAUGAGGUUAUCAGCGUGAAAUGUUCAUUGCAACGUCAAUAUCAUGUAUCAAACGUGGCUCACUAACACAGUGAAAAAGUGUUCAAGAAAACCACCUUUGAUUGUCGCGUCAUAUGCCCAAACAAGGAUCUCUCCUUUGAAAAGAUGUGAAACAUGCGUAGCAAAAUGAAUCCGUCAAUGGUUCAUUUAUAAAUUCCAAUAUCUAAAAAGGUUGGCAACCUUGGAUGAACACAAUUUGUAUCUUGUGGAAUCACGAAUAAAUAAAAUUCAUAUGUGUUCUU
Drosophila melanogaster (fruit fly) is the source of this 491-nucleotide non-coding RNA. NCBI's taxonomy places the organism in Eukaryota, Metazoa, Arthropoda, Insecta, Diptera, Drosophilidae. The record is from Ensembl.